Heterocephalus glaber (naked mole-rat) is the source of this 474-nucleotide long non-coding RNA. RefSeq lists it as uncharacterized. The record is from RefSeq and is a predicted model, not a curated record. Lineage: Eukaryota; Metazoa; Chordata; Mammalia; Rodentia; Bathyergidae.
ACCCGACUCCAAUGCUCGGUCCCGGCUCCCGCUCCCUCGCCGGACGCCUCACGCCGCACCCUGGGCCCCCCCACCCAGGCUGGAGCCUGUCCAGCUCUGGAUCCCCCAGGACGUUCUGCCCAGCACCUCGGGUCCCAGGCUGCACCUUCCUGGGGACCCUUACCCAGCCGAACUGAUGAUGGAGACUCGGCUGCUGUAUAGAUCGUGGAGUGGGAGAGCUGACUGCCAAGCUGCCUGUCUCCAUGCAAAAUGAAGAAGGGCUAGGCGGACCGAGGAAUCGGCCCUUUGGAUGGGCACCACUCUGGGACACGAAGACUCCUUCCUUGCUGUGUUAUCAUCUUCUAGAGAUUGAAAUCCUCUCUUCCCUGAGACUGAAAGUUGUUCAGGAUGGGAAGGACCCGGGACAAGAUUCAAAGAGGGAGCUGAUACACCAUCCUCAGAUCUAGACAAAUAAACAUAUCUUUUUUUUUGGUA